RNAcentral lists this long non-coding RNA (256 nucleotides) under Panax ginseng (ginseng). Its description in RNAcentral is "long non-coding RNA (PGIN_LNC012908)". The record is from RNAcentral. Lineage: Eukaryota; Viridiplantae; Streptophyta; Magnoliopsida; Apiales; Araliaceae.
CUUAGAGGAGUUUCAGGCCAGACUCGAAGAAGGAUUGGGACAUGAUGACCAUGAUAAUAGAUCGAAAAUGGGUGCACUACACAAAGCAGCCAUGGUCAACAAAUUUCUCUUUAGUCUGAGAAUUAUAUGCCAAUGCCAUUCUGAAGUUCCAGCAGUGGUUCAGGUUCGAGGCCAGGCAGUGACAUAUGACAGUGUAAUGCUCAAUGCCUUUUUUAAUACACCUAACCAUUCAGGCUCUGAUUACUUGGAAAAUAAG